AUUGAACGCUGGCGGCAGGCCUAACACAUGCAAGUCGAGCGGAUGAAGGGAGCUUGCUCCUGGAUUCAGCGGCGGACGGGUGAGUAAUGCCUAGGAAUCUGCCUUGUAGUGGGGGAUAACGUCCGUAAACGGGCGCUAAUACCGCAUACGUCCUGAGGACGGAAGUGGGGGAUCUUCGGACCUCACGCUAUCAGAUGAGCCUAGGUCGGAUUAGCUAGUUGGUGGGGUAAAUGCCUACCAAGGCGACGAUCCGUAGCUGGUCUGAGAGGAUGAUCAGUCACACUGGAACUGAGACACGGUCAAGACUCCUACGGGAGGCAGCAGUGGGGAAUAUUGGACAAUGGGCGAAAGCAUGAUCCAGCCAUGCCGCGUGUGUGAAGAAGGUCUUCGGAUUGUAAAGAACUUUAAGUUGGGAGGAAGGGCAGUAAGUUAAUACCUUGCUGUUUUGACGUUACCAACAGAAUAAGCACCGGCUAACUUCGUG
Molecule: ribosomal RNA, 484 nt
Filed under: uncultured bacterium
Lineage: Bacteria
Description: partial 16S ribosomal RNA
Rfam family: Bacterial small subunit ribosomal RNA
Source: RNAcentral